This 747-nucleotide long non-coding RNA is filed under the name Brassica rapa (field mustard). RNAcentral's name for it is "long non-coding RNA (BRAP_LNC002833)". Lineage: Eukaryota; Viridiplantae; Streptophyta; Magnoliopsida; Brassicales; Brassicaceae. The record is from RNAcentral.
AAAAAUCCUUUAGUACAUCCAAUUCUAAGCUCUUUUUUACAUGUUUUCAACUUACAAACUAUACAUAAUAUCAUUUAUUAUGUUUUACUGUAUUUACUCAUAAUAUUUGUUAUGAAACCAAUAUAGAACUGAUUCACCCCGCGCUUUUGCGCGGGUCUCAACCUAGUAAUAUAGUAAUGUACUUAACUGACUUAUAAUCAUAAUAAAUCAGAUCCAAACCAUCUAACCUAACACUUGGCACAAAUCCAACAAAUUGUUACUUACUCUAAAUUAGUAGUAUUAUUUAUAGAGUUAUUCUUGGGUUCACCCCAUAGGGUGAACCUAUAGGUUCAUCAACCAAUAAGAUUUAGUUAUUUCAAAUCCGAUAUCUUUUAAAAAAGGAAACAAAAUAUUGUCAAAUUAUAUUACGUUUUUAAAAUUAAAAAAAUACAAAUAAAUAAAAAUAAUAGUAGUUGCAAAAAAAAGUUUUCAAAAAAAAAUUAAUACCAUAAACAAAACACUAAACUCUAAAUCUAAACCCGAAACCCUUCGGUAAACCCUAAACCCUUUGAUAAAUUUUAAAACACUAAACCCUAAAUUCUAAUCCUAAACCCCAAACCCUUGGAUAAACCCUAAACCCUUGGGUAAACCCUAAUCCCUUGGAUAAAUCUAAAACUCUUGGAUCAAAUCUUAAACUUUAAGAUUUAUGAUUUAUUCAAGAGUUUAGGGUUUACCUAAAGGUUUAGGGUUUAAUAUUUGUUGGCAGCG